UACGGAGGGUGCAAGCGUUAUCCGGAUUUACUGGGUUUAAAGGGAGCGCAGGCGGAUUGGUAAGUCAGUGGUGAAAUCCCCGUGCUUAACAUGGGAACCGCCAUUGAUACUAUCAGUCUUGAAUGUUGUUGAGGUUUGCGGAAUGGGUCAUGUAGCGGUGAAAUGCAUAGAUAUGACCCGGAACACCUAUUGCGAAGGCAGUAGGCUAAACAAAUAUUGACGCUGAGGCUCGAAAGCGUGGGGAUCAAACAGG
Molecule: ribosomal RNA, 253 nt
Filed under: uncultured bacterium
Lineage: Bacteria
Description: partial 16S ribosomal RNA
Rfam family: Bacterial small subunit ribosomal RNA
Source: RNAcentral